AAUUUUGGUUACGUCUCAACCGCUUCGUUGAAUUAACGUCCUCUGAAUCCUUAUAUAUACUUGUGAUUUUGUUGUGCUUCUUCACACACUUCCUUGCAAGUCAUCACUAGAUCACUAAGCAAGGAUAUAUGAUGGUUUCUAAGCUUUUAUUUGUUGCAUUUCUUGGCUUUUUAAUUUGCACACUUGAAAUUGUUGGUGGCAGAAAGCUCUCUGAAGAGGAAACAAAAACAUCAAUUGGACAUGGUGGAGGCCUAGGUGGUGGAGCAGGAUUUGGAGGUGGUGUUGGGGGUGGCAUUGGUAAUGGUGGUGGUGGUGGAGCAGGGUUUGGAGGUGGAGGAGUUGGAGUAGGAGGUGGAGGUGGAGGUGGAAUUGGUAAAGGUGUUGGUGGUGGAAUAGGAGGUGGUUCUGGAGGUGGCAUUGGUAGUGGUGGUGGAGUAGGAGGUGGAGGUGGAGAAGGUGGUGGUACUGGUAAGGGUAGUGGCAGUGGAGCAGGAGGUGGAGAAGGUGGUGGUAUUGGUAAGGGUAGUGGCAGUGGAUUAGGAGGUGGAGAAGGUGGUGGUAUUGGUAAGGGUGGUGGCGGUGGACUAGGAGGUGGUAUUGGUAAAGGUGGUGGUGGUGGAGUAGGUGUAGGAGGUGGAGGAGGUGCUGGAGGUGGAGGAGGUGGUGGUAUUGGUAAGGGUAGUGGUGGUGGAGUAGGAGGUGGAAGUACUGGAGAAGGUGGUGGCAUUGGAAAAGGUGGUGGUAAAGGAAUAGGAGGUGGUUCCGGGGGUGGCAUCGGGAAAGGUAGAGGUGGAGAAAGUGGUGAUAUCGGUAAGGGUAAUGGCAGUGGAGAAGGCGGCGGCAUUGGAAAAGGUAGUGGUAGUGGAAUAGGAGGUGGUUCUGGAAGUGGAAUUGGUGGUGGCAUCGGGAAAGGUGAAGGUGGUGGAAUAGGAGGUGGAAAAGGUGGUGGCAUUGGGAAAGGUGAAGGUGGUGGAAUAGGAGGUGGAAAAGGUGGUGGCAUUGGGAAAGGUGAAGGUGGUGGAAUAGGAGGUGGAAAAGGUGGUGGCAUCGGGAAAGGUGGAGGUGGUGGUGGAAUAGGAGGUGGAUAUGGUGGUGGCAUUGGAAAAGGUGGUGGUAGUGGAAUAGGAGGUGGUUCUAGUGGUGGAUUUGGUGGUGGCAACGGGAAUGGUGUUGGUGGUGGAAUAGGAGGUGGUUAUGGAGGUGGAGGUGGAAAAGGUGGUGGCAUCGGGAAAGGUGGUGGUGGUGGGAUAGGAGGUGGAUAUGGAGGUGGAAUUGGUGGUGGUGGUGGUGGUAGUGAAGGCGGUGGCUUUGGCAAAGGUAACGGUAGUGUAGGUGGUGGUUAUGGAGGGGGAUUUGGUGGAGGAGUAGGAGGUGGGGGUGGAGGUGGUGGAGGAAAAGGUGGUGGAUAUGGUUAUGGUGCAGGAGCCGGUGGUGAGUCCGGAAAAGGAGACGGAAGCGGAAGUGGAGGAGGGUGGCCUUGAAACCUAUAUCUGUUAAAGCCUGUCGGAGCAGAACUUAUGCAAUAACAAAUCUAUAGUUAAAAUUAAAUAAGCAUGCAAUGGUUUUGUAUUUUUCUAUUACUUUUUAUGUAUGGCAUAUCACAUGAGAUGAUAAUAAAGGCUUGAAUCCAGCUUACAACGUAAGGCUUCAUCCAUUCUCAUAUUCCAAAUGAUCAUUUCUUUCUGAAAGGUCUGAACUUAAAACAAAACAAUCCAUCUCAAAAAGAUGAAAGAGUGUAAUU
This 1741-nucleotide long non-coding RNA is filed under the name Lactuca sativa (garden lettuce). Its description in RNAcentral is "long non-coding RNA (LSAT_LNC002089)". The record is from RNAcentral. Lineage: Eukaryota; Viridiplantae; Streptophyta; Magnoliopsida; Asterales; Asteraceae.